UGAAAGUUGGUAUAUUAUAAUAUUGAAAUAAAAUAAAACGUAUCAAAUGAUGCUGACAUGUAGCAUCUAGGAAAAGAAGAAAAUUAGAAAAUAUUUUAUACAAAAAAAUCAAAUUUCAUAUACAAAUUGCGUUUUGUUCAACGCUUUUCCACCUCAAUAUAAUUACCAAAAGAUGCAUUCAAAUCUUCAUGCAUACACAUACAAAACCAGAAGAGGUUAGGAUUUAAUUUUCUAUAAAGAUUUAAAACACUUGCUUCAGUUAUUAAAUUACAGAUAAAUAAUUGAAAAGGAUUAGACAGAUUAAGAAAACCAUAUUAUUUUCUUUUAGAUUUCUAUAUUGAAAGUCAAUAAACUCAUCAAAGAUACCAGGACUAAAUUUUAUAUAUACGCCAGACGCGCGUUUCGUCUACACAAGACAAUAUUCAGUUUCCAGAUUACAUAUUAACAUUUGGUAUAAUGAACUCUUCGAAUCGCCUACAUAACAAAAUAAUAUACACAUUAUUUACAAAAGUCAUGCACACAACACAUUUUAAAGGUCAAAUACAUGGUAAGGU
RNAcentral lists this long non-coding RNA (554 nucleotides) under Mytilus galloprovincialis (Mediterranean mussel). The record is from RNAcentral. Lineage: Eukaryota; Metazoa; Mollusca; Bivalvia; Mytilida; Mytilidae.